GACCAGUCCGGUGAGGUCCACCGAAGAAGAAGAUCGGAGCUCUGGCUCUGGAGGUGUGGUGGCACACUUCUGAACCACAUGAUCCUUCUAUUUUGUUUUAAUCUGGGGUGUCCAAAGUGAUUGCCACGCGCGUGGAACAUUUGACUUGGAGUAUGGUGGAACGCGCGCUCAGAUCCACUUGAUCUGCCACCUCAAUUAAUGAGGGAGAUCAAGUUGUCCAUAUUUUUUUUUGUAAUUUUUU
This 241-nucleotide long non-coding RNA is filed under the name Lathyrus oleraceus (garden pea). RNAcentral's name for it is "Pisum sativum (pea) long non-coding RNA (PSAT_LNC021160)". Lineage: Eukaryota; Viridiplantae; Streptophyta; Magnoliopsida; Fabales; Fabaceae. The record is from RNAcentral.